Cherax quadricarinatus is the source of this 7233-nucleotide non-coding RNA. The record is from RefSeq and is a predicted model, not a curated record. NCBI's taxonomy places the organism in Eukaryota, Metazoa, Arthropoda, Malacostraca, Decapoda, Parastacidae.
UGCAGGAUGUAGAGGGAAGCAGCAGUGCAGUUACAACUCCUGGGGAUGUCAUCACCACCACCUCUAUACAGUUAGAUACUCCAACCACUCCCCUACCACCACCCUCACCACGAACGAUAACAACCACAGAUAGCAUCCCACCUCUAGACGAGCCUCUGGGGCCUCCGCCGGCCUACACAUAUAAUCCCCCACGAAUAAGUCCUUUUGAGCCCAUCCCUGGUCCACCUCCCUCUUAUGAUGAAUGCCACAAUCUCAAUGUUCCUCCUCCUACGUAUGAUUCCUUGUUUGGACGAGUACGGGAAGUUCAAAAGACUUCUAAUGGGGUUGUUGAUUUCAUCAAAAAUAUUAUAGUUCUCUUUGUUGGAACAAGUGAGUAUGUGUUUAGCUCCUGUUGUUUUUCAGAGUCAAAACUUAAACACUCUGUACUCAUUCUCUCACUACAAAUUUAUAAAUUAAAACCCUUCAAAUUCUUUGAGGAUGUUUUCUUUUUUUUAUUUUGCACUGUUAAUUCAAAGUAAAAGGACACAUGUGCAACUAAUGUGACAUUUUUUGUGGCAACGUUUCACUCUCCAGGAGCUUUGUCAAGCCGAUACAAACAAUACAUGGACACAGAGGGUAUAUAUAGGCUUAGAGCGAGGUGUAAUGCUAGUGAUAGUGUAGUAGUAGUAGUGAUAUCAGUUGUAGUAGUAGUAGUGAUAUCAGUUGUAGUAGUAGUAGUGAUAUCAGUUGUAGUAGUAGUAAUACAAUACUCAUGCUUGUGCAUGAGUAAAAGGAUAUAAAAGCUGUUACUUGGGUAGUAUAAAAAUAGGUUAGACAAAUAUUUCUAUUGGAGGUUGGAUUAGAGAAGGCCUGUUUCAGUGUUCAUCCUCUGUAAUUUGCUUGUGUAGUAUUAGCAGGAGAGACUAUAUGAUGGCAGGGUUUACUGUUUUCAGGAGGAUUCUCGCUAAGACUUCAGAGAUGGUAAAGCUGCCUUUGUUUUGUUUAAUUGUAUUAGAAACAGCGAUUAGUGCUGAUUCAAGGCACUUGCAUCUGCGGAAAUUAAUUUCUUUGAUCACUGAUCAGGCGUCCCUGAAUUUCAUGAGAUGAUAAGUGGAAUUUCGGUGUUGUACACAGGCUUUGUUCAAGUUAUUGUUCCUACAUGCAUAAAUGCAUUCAUUGAGGCAGGUUUCAAGAUUUCUUGCUGUUUCACCUACACAAAUCCUGUCAUAGCCUCCACAGGUUAUAGUGUAAACCCUUGCAUUGACUGGUUCAUGGUGCUUGGAUUUUCUCCUGGUUAGAUCUUUUAUUGAAGUGCUGGAAGUGAUGGCAACUCUAGUAUUAGCUUGUGCAAGUACUUUAGAAAUGUUUAGUGCAACCUGGCUGUUGGGAAGAAUUAUAACUUUGUUAGGAGUGGUGUUGGUGUGUGAAGAUUUAAUGAUCUGAUGAGCUCUCUUCAUGCAAUUUUUCAUGUAAAAGGAAGGAAAAUGUAAAUCAGUGAAGGUUUGGUGAAUGUAUGUACAUUUCUCGUCAAGAAACUCAGGACUACAGAUUCAGUAUGCUCUUAGGAAAAAUCCGAUGAUGAUGCCUCUUUUGGCCUUAGUAUCUUGACUGGAAUAGAAGUGUGUAACAUCAUUUUUAUUUGUAGGUUUCUGGUAAACUUUAAAUCUUAGGUUGUUGUCUACUUUGUGAAUGAGGAUGUCUAGAAAAGGUAGCAUGUGAAUGGUGACGUCUAGGAAAGGUAUUUUGACAGAGCUCCUGGAGAGUAAAACAUUGCCACAAUAAAAUGUCACAUUAGCUGCACUUGUACUUUACAUAUUGUCAGUAAUUCUACCAACAUAUAUACUCUGUUAAUUCAGGCUUCUUACAUUAAUUAAUUUAUAAUUGCUUAUUAAGCUUUCCACUGUUCUUCUCAAAUGGUAGAGAAUCCUUUUCUGAAGGUAAUGACAUAAAAAAAUAUAUUAAAUUUUAUGAAAACUUACAGGGUUAUGCAAGUGCAAAGUUGGCAGUCUGGGCACAGUUUAUGCAUCAGCGAUUACCCCUACUUUGACUUUUAUUUUUAAACGAAUUCCAUUGCUCAUUAUAACCAAUUUCAUAGCUACUUGGCUAGUACAGUGGGCUGCCGCGUUUCGACAGCCACGACUUUCGUGAAAUCCGACUUUCGGCACCUUUUUCGUCAAAAUAUAGCUUUGCAGUUCGUGAUUGGCCUCAUGAAUCGUCCAUUGUAUGGGACAUGUCCGUGAAGCCGGGAGUGGCUGGGUGUACACAAAGGCUCCCACACAACAUUGAGAGAGUCAGUGUGGCAUGAUUUGUGGGUGAGCUACCAUCACCCCACAGGUUCAUAUGAUACAUUUCUUAAUAAUCCAUUGUUUUUUGUGCUUGCAACUGUUAAAUAAGCCACCAUGGGCCCAAAGAAAGCUCAUAGUGCCAGCCCUUUGAUAAAGAAGGAAAGAAGCAUGAUAGAAUUCAAGUGGAGGAGGAAGAGAGAGGGGAGAAUGUGCCUUCUUCAGUGCUUCAGUGAUUUUACGAUAUGUAUGAUACUAAAGCAGUAGGUAUCGAUAAGCACCAGCCAGUGAUAAAGUGUAGCAUUAACAGUGUAGCAAGUAAGUUAAGCGAUUAAGCGAUAGAAAAACGACACGAAAGUAACUCUCCAAUGUUGUUGGAGGUGUAUAAGGCCACUGAACAUACGCCGCCCUGCUAUCUUCCACCACCCUAAAUGUCUGCCAGUAUCUCCUCCAUCAAACUAACUAAUUAAACUAACAUCUCCUCCAAGGUAAGUGUAAAUAUUUCUUAUUUAUAAAUUAAACUGUAAAUAUCUCUUAUUUAUAAAUUACAUACAUUAUACAUUGUUUGUGUGAAUAGUGGUGGUAGCUUCUGCUGCACCCUCCACCACCACUAAUAUGUACAACUUCUCUCAGUGGCCCUUAUAAACCCAACAACAACACCAUCACCACUUGUGACAUACAGAAUGACAUUUUAUUAAUUCUAGAGUAUAUAUCAUGUUUCUAUGUUAUUAAUAUUGUUUAUUAUGUCAUAUUAGAUGAAUAGUGAUGGAUAAAUAAGCCAUAGAGAUGAUAUUAGCAUCAUAUUGAAGCAUAAUAAACUCUCCCCCCCCCCUCUUGCCUCCUACCUGUCUGCCAUACACCAACAAGAGUCUUCAAUAAAGGUAAGUGUGAUGUUAAAUUUUCAUUUAUCCAUUUUAUUAAUGCUUUAUAUUUAUUUGUCAUUGUUUUCUGUAUGUAAAUCUAUAUUAAUCUUUAAAAAAAGGUAUUUUUUGUUAAUACUUUUGGGUGUCUGAAACGGAUUAAUUGGAUUUCCAUUAUUUCUUAUGGGGAAAAUGGUUUCGCCAUUCAUGAAUUUCGCUAUUCAGCAGACUCUCUGGAAAGGAUUAAUCAUGAAACUCGAGGGUCCACUGUAUGUCUUUCAUUCUGUCAAUUGAGCACACGGAACUGCUUAUUCAGUUAUCAGAACUACCCUGUAAAGAACAUAGAUGUCAGUAGUUUUAUAUAAAAUUCAACGAAUUCCAAUUUAACCGCUUGACUGUUUUGGUUGUAUAUAUAUGUCUUACAAGCCACCGUGUUUGACGUAUCUAUACGCAUAAAUUCUAGCAGCUUCAAAUCAAACAGGAGAAGGCUGGUAGGCCUACAUGAGAGAGAAUGGGUCUGAGUGGUGGGUGUGCACCUUGUGAAAAAAUCUGGGACUCAGUAGUGCAUUGUGGGAACGCCAUCUUGGUAGUCCAUUUUCACCAUGCCUCACGGUAAGAAGUACCUCACUCCUUGGCGGAUUGGAGGUCUUUUGUUCCCAAGUGAUAGCUCUAACAGCGAUGGAAGUGUCAGUGAAAGUGAAUUACAUGGUUUUCAAGUGGGUGUGACCGAAAACAGUGCCCAGGAUAACGUAAUUAGUGAUGAAAACCCAGAUGACCCACGACCUUCCACCUCUGGUGCUGGGCCAGCUCAAUCACGUUCACCUCUACCAGGACGAAAGAGGAAACUAUUUGCUCGUGUACAAGACUUAGAUGUGAGCAGUGAAAGUGAUAGUGAUUUCAAAGCUUUUAAAAGCAGUUCUAGUUGCGACAGUGAGGGUGAAGAUUCCCCAGUGAAGCUGCAGUAUAUAUGAUGUAGCAUGUGGUCUGGUAGUGUGUCAUAUGCUGUUCCAAGGGAAGGAGUAAAUCUCGGAGCACAUCCCGUGGCCCUACACCAUGAACUGAUAGUGAAGAUGAUGAUAUUGUUACGAUGGGUAUGAAUGAUGUGAGUGAGGCAGCAGGUGGUGGUGGUAAUAGUGAUGGUGGCAUGAGUCAUGUUGCACCAGCAGCGGGCCACGCUACUACCGACGCUGCUGACUCUGCACAACCACAACCAGCCUCACCCAAUCCCACACUCCCACAACACCCACAGCCACAACCUGCACAACCACAACCACGUUUCAGUAUCCAGAACCCACCAGCUGACUGCAUCUGGGAUUGGCAGCAAGGUGACGAGUUUGUUCCCAGUCCCCCAUGACUGAUGAAACACAAAGUGGAAUACGGCCAUCAUGUACACUUGGGAACAAUGCCACUGAACUGGAAUGCUUUCAAUUAUUCUUCGAUGAACCCCUGAUGGACAUUAUUGUCAGGGAAAGCAAUACAUACUUUGAGUACACCAUGGCAAACACAAUUCUUUCACCAAGAUCACGGCUACACAAGUGGAAGGACAGAACUGUGGCAGAGAUGUAUCUGUUCCUUGCCACAAUAAUGCUUAUGCCACAUGUAUGUAAGCACAGUGUUAACACAUAGUGGUCGACAGACCUCCUGAUUUCAACCCCAGCUUUCAGUGACAUUAUACCAUUGAAUAGAUUUGUGCUACUGUUGCGUAUGCUACACUUUUCCGACAAAACAAGGCCUGACGAAGCGACAGGUUAUAUUAGAUCAGAAAUGUGUUUAUGUACCUGAAACAUAAGCGUUGUAUGUAUUUAUCCCUUCAGGAAGCUUGUUAUUGAUGAAUCUUUGAUUUUGUUCAAAGGAAGACUCUCGUUCAAGCAUUACAUGCCAAGCAAGACGAAAUGCUUUGGUGUAAAGUUAUUUGUACUGUGUGAUUGCAAAAGUGGUCUGGUUUUGGAUAUACAUACUUGUGUACACUGGCAGUAAAACAUUGCAAGAUACCAGGAAGUUACUGGGUAUCUCUGGUGAUGUGGUUAGAACAAUGAUAGAACCAUAUCUUGGUAAGGGGCAUAUUUUAUAUACUGACAACUGGUACACAAGCCCUUUACUCAGUGAUUUCUUGCGAGUGAACAUGACAGAUGUGUGUGGCACAAUACAUGGAAAUUGUAAGCAUAUGCCUAGGUUCGACGCUGGCACUCGUAGAGGUGAUGUUCAGGUGUUUGCUGUCAAUGACAUCAUGGCAUUUUGGUGGCAUGACAAACGUGAUGUCACACUGUUGACAUCAGUUCACCGAUACGAAAUGGUAGACAGUGGCAAGCAGAAUAGAGAGACCAAUGAACCCAUUAUAAAACCUGCAGCUGUGAUGGAUUACAACCUCAAUAUGCAGUUAGUGGACAAAUGUGACAUGCAGAUUGGGUUUGCUGAUUCUGUUUGCAAGAGUUAUAAGUGGUAAAUAAAACUCUUUUUUCCAUCUUCUUGACAUUUCCAUGCUGAAUGCUUAUAAUAUGUAUAAGUUGAAGACCAACAACAAACCCAAAUAUGGUGAAUUUUGUUUGUCAGUCAUCAGACAAAUAAUAUUCAAGUACCAAGGAAUAAAACCUGCAAUAGACCAGCGCCCAUGAAAUUAUCAACACAUGCCCUCUCAUCUGAGGACUGGUGAUCACUACCCCAUACCACUGCCUGCUACUGCUCUCAAGAAAAAUGCUCAGAAGAGGUGUUUUGUCUGUGGACAUACCACAAAACGCCCACAAAAAUGCAGAGACACUUAUUUUAUGUGUGUGAGUAGUGUAAAAUACCAUUGUGCUUUACACCCAGCUGCAGCAGUUCUAGAAAAGUGUCCAGUGAUUCUACAUAUGUAUAUAUAUUAUAGAACAAUCGUAAUAAACAAUUUUUUAUAUUGCUUGUGUAAACAAGUUUUGUAAACAUUAUGAUGAUUUUAGUGUUUUUGCUAUAAUUGUCUUACAUUCAACAAGUGCAUACAGUAGGGCCCCUCUUUAUGGCAUUUCGCUUUAUGGCAUUCCGCUAAUAUGGUCAUUUCAAAUUAUGACCAAAACUCGCUAUAUGGCUCCCCCCACCUGACUUUCUAAUACGGUCACCGCGCCCCACCCAGUUUGUUUACAUUCUCUGUGAGAUCCGUAAGCACUAAGUCUCUCCAUUUUGUCUGGAAACUCCAAAAUUUCAAGUGUUUUUAAAAGUUAUUUCAUAUUUUAUAUAUACUCUGAUAAUUAUACUUAUGUAUACCUGUACCUAAAUAAACUUACACACUGUGCUGGCAUGCAGGUACACAUGAAAAUCAGUAAGAGUGUCUUAUGUCUCCAGACGUCACAUUAGUAAUGAUAAUAAUAAUCACCGAGUCUCAUUUAAAUGUCGUAUAUUACAUUAAUAUACACAUUUUCAUUAAUCCAUCUAUGAUAUUUUUUCAAAAUUAUAUAGUAAACGCGAUGCAUAACAUAUAAAUAUGAUAAAUACACCCCACAGUAGAAUAAAUAAACAUAAAUAUGAGAUGUGGUAGCAGACGACUUGCACAAGUGACGCCAUAUUAGAAAUGAUAAUAAUUAUCACCGAGUCUCAUUAAAUGUCGUAUAUUACGUUAAUAUCCACAUUUUCAUUAACCCAUCCAUGAUAUUUUUUUCAAAAUUAUAUAAUAAACAUGAUACAUAACAUAUAAAGAUGAUAAAUACACCCCACAAUAGAAUAAAUAAACAUAAAUAUGAGAUGUGGUAGCUAGAUAACUUGUACAAGUGACGGCAAGAAUAACAUUUUCUCUAAUCCAACAUAAGAGAAAAUGUGUUCCUCGGGGUAACUGUAGAAAAUUAUUCCUUUCGUAUGUAUGCAAGUUUAUUCAGGUACACACAAAUACAGUUACAUAGAUUAUCAUACAUAACAGCAUAUGUGUAGAGAACCCAGGAUAACCCAAAAAAUAAGUGACUUAUUUCCAUUGCCUUCACUCAGAGCAUCAUUUCUUCUCAAAAUGAUGUUACAUGAGAAUGGGAGUGUUCUUCUUUAUUUAUUCUACCACAUCAAUGUAGAGACAACUUGUACACAAUGUAACUUGUACACAAACCAGACGUGUACACUUUGUUGUUUACAAAACUUACCUUCCCCUGGUUUGUUUAAAUAAC